AUUCAUCCACACUCACGCCUGCGCAAAGCCGCUGCAUGCUCGCGCAGUUCGUGUCGCUUCCCCGCAGUCCGGACGAGCGCACGGCUGCAGGAGCUCUAUUUAUAUCGUAUCACGAGCACUCGCUGGUUGUUACCUGAACAUAUUCACCUCUAGGAAAUAUGUGGAGCACUGCACAAGUUACACGUUCAAGUUGCAUUGUCGGAAUUUCCUGACAAUAAUGGGUAGAAGAAAUUUUUCUGGCCAGACACCUAAUACGAUUUGGACUCUCUGCCUUCAGAUGAUGGAGCUGUCUGAUCAUACUGUCUAAAAGCCAAAAGCUAGCAACGUGGGGGAGAGACAAGCACUCCUGGGUUGGACCUGCUCAUCCUGAGUGCUGGAAACUGCCAAACUACCAUACCAAUAAGUUGGGGUUUGGGAGAGCCUCCCUCUAUGAGCUUUGCCAGGGGGAGGCCCUUUAUUCUGGACACACAGACUUUUGCCCCUCCUCUUGUCCCAGAACAAUCAGAGCAUGCAAGGACAGACACUAUGCUUUUUAUUUCUUCUUGCAAAUAUCUUUUGAGUGCCAAGCUAAUGAAAAGAGCACCCACUCACUGCUCUGCACCCCAUCCUGUAAAGCUUAGGCAAGAGUCUAUUACCUUAAGGGAACCUCUGGGAAACUGGAUUUUAUUGUUAUUUUGAUGCUUAAAAAGAACCUCACCUGUCUGUGGGUCAUUUUCCACUCAAUAGGAUCACUAGUCUCACUCACCAAAGAUGGCAAAUGUAUUCAGCUGGCCUGUGACUUUCUGUGUCUUUCCUCUCUGACUGGAUAGAAAGUACUGCCUUCAUGUGAGGCAAGACAUUUAAUUUGAAAGAUGGGAUGACAUUUUCCUGAGCAAAAAUGCUGGGUUCAAUCAAAAGGUUAUCAAAGUCAUCUGUCCAGAGAGGCAUGGAAAUUAAGUUUGUUGCCAGAGCUUUCAGUUCUCCCGCACUUAUUCUUAAAGUAGUUACUUAUAUGUGAUUGACAUCUUUUUCAGAAUGGCAUCUUGCAUAGGCUUUUAAGGAGGGGUCUUACAACAGUCCAGCAGAAGAGGGAGACCCCCACCACACACUUGUGAGAGGACAGAGGCAACAUUCCCCUUCCAGUAAUUCUGAGAAAUGCCUUAUUAGGUGCUGUAGGCACAUACAUGUUUACUGUAUAUGGGGACAUGUUUAUGUCUAGCAGUUUCUGGAAAAGUGUUAGUAUUUUGUGAAGUGGGCGUUGAAUCCACAGGACAGCAUCCAUAACCAUACCAUAAUACAAUGGUAUGUAUGACCUGUGUACUAUGGGCUCUUCCUGGACUGAUAGAUUGCAGGCCUCAGGGUCCAAAUAAACAGGCAUGUGUGACCUGACUGAGAGUUCCAGUGAAUACUAGCUGCUCAAAAGACACCUGUGGUUUCAAGGAAUGCCUGUCCUUGGAUGACAGCAUCAGCAUUCUGGAAUCAAUGAGACAUGAGAAUGAGGCAUCAUCAAGUUCCCCUAAAAUUAAACAGCAAUGUGGAUUCAUGGUGUAGUGUUUAGUCAAGUGGUUUAUGGCAACAUGCUUGCAAGUCAGUCUGACAUUGGGACAUGGUGACAGUUACUCUGAGAAGAUAGAGAGGAAAAAUACAUACAAAAACAUCCUAGUAGCAGUUAGCCACAGACUAGACAAUUAGCAGUCAGUGAUAAAUGGUACAUGCUAUAGUGUGGGGAAAAGAACUGAACCACAUUAGUUGUGCUACAGGCCUAUCAGCCUAAUUUAUCAGUCAGGGGUGUGGAAGAGUGACACUCUAAACACAUGAGGUAAAUUGGAGUAAGUCAUUCCAGUCUAGGUAUCGCAACAUAAUUCAUUCAUUAAUUCAUUGAUGGAUUUUUUUUUAUAAAUACAUAAAGAUUUUUUUUCUUUGUGCUUUGUCUCAUUUUUUUUUCUUGAUUAUCAGAUAUUUAGUGAAUCAUUAGGAGCUUAUUAAAGAUAUAAAAGAUAUAAAAGAAAAUGCCCUGACUACCUCAUGAUUGAAUAGUUUGGUGUUCUAGCCAGCAGGUGGUGCUGGGUAAUAUGUGAAGAGCAGGGCAGUGGAAACAAUGGGCAUGGCACAAGGCUUUUGCCAUCUGUGUGAUUGGUAGAGCUGUUUGCUUGAUUAACAACUUGUACAGGCAUUUUGGUCUGUCUCCAAAUCUAUAUCAGUAUGUAAGUGUGCAUGUGUGUGUUAUGUGUCUGGUUGGUGGUGGGGGAAUUGCACUUGAACUAGAAAUUACAUUUGCUUGUUCAAGUGGGGUCAUAUACAUAUACAUAUAUAUAUUCUUUCUUGCUUUUAACUGUUUUAACUCAUUCCAACAAUCAAAACCCACUAUGGAAACAUUAGCCAAUAGUUGUAAUUCCUCCUUAUCUUAACUCAGAUGUGUUAUGAUCUAAUUUUGGCACCCAACCACAGUUACUUAUAAAUAUUGUUGCUCAUAUCGGCAAUUAAUAAAAAUGCAAUAUACAUCUUUUUGAUACUGUUACUUUAUCUUGGACAUUCCACGGUUGAAUAAACUGGCAUCAGAGGGUAAUAAAAAU
This is a long non-coding RNA of Tachysurus fulvidraco (yellow catfish), 2552 nucleotides long. RefSeq lists it as uncharacterized. Lineage: Eukaryota; Metazoa; Chordata; Actinopteri; Siluriformes; Bagridae. The record is from RefSeq and is a predicted model, not a curated record. The transcript is spliced from 4 exons.